AUUGAACGCUGGCGGCAUGCCUUACACAUGCAAGUCGAACGGUAACAGGUCUUCGGAUGCUGACGAGUGGCGAACGGGUGAGUAAUACAUCGGAACGUGCCUAGUAGUGGGGGAUAACUACUCGAAAGAGUGGCUACUGCCGCAUGAGAUCUACGGAUGAAAGCAGGGGAUCGCAAGACCUUGUGCUACAAGAGCGGCCGAUGGCAGAUUAGGUUGUUGGUGGGAUAAAAGCUUACCAAGCCGACGAUCUGUAGCUGGUCUGAGAGGACGAUCAGCCACACUGGGACUGAGACACGGCCCAGACUCCUACGGGAGGCAGCAGUGGGGAAUUUUGGACAAUGGGCGCAAGCCUGAUCCAGCAAUGCCGCGUGCAGGAUGAAGGCCUUCGGGUUGUAAACUGCUUUUGUACGGAACGAAAAGCCCUGGGUUAAUACCCUGGGGUCAUGACGGUACCGUAAGAAUAAGCACCGGCUAACUACGUGCCAGCCGCCGCCGUAA
Molecule: ribosomal RNA, 498 nt
Filed under: uncultured bacterium
Lineage: Bacteria
Description: partial 16S ribosomal RNA
Rfam family: Bacterial small subunit ribosomal RNA
Source: RNAcentral